AUUGAACGCUGGCGGAAUGCUUUACACAUGCAAGUCGAACGGUAGAGGGGGCAACCCCUCGAGAGUGGCGAACGGGUGAGUAAUAUAUCGGAACGUGCCCAGUCGUGGGGGAUAACGUAGCGAAAGUUACGCUAAUACCGCAUACGAUCUAAGGAUGAAAGCGGGGGAUCGCAAGACCUCGCGCGAUUGGAGCGGCCGAUAUCAGAUUAGGUAGUUGGUGGGGUAAAGGCCCACCAAGCCAACGAUCUGUAGCUGGUCUGAGAGGACGACCGGCCACACUGGAACUGAGACACGGUCCAGACUCCUACGGGAGGCAGCAGUGGGGAAUUUUGGACAAUGGACGCAAGUCUGAUCCAGCCAUUCCGCGUGCAGGAUGAAGGCCCUCGGGUUGUAAACUGCUUUUGUACGGAACGAAAAGGUCUCUCUUAAUACGGGGGACUCAUGACGGUACCGUAAGAAUAAGCACCGGCUAACUACGUGCCAGCCGCCGCCGUAA
This 496-nucleotide ribosomal RNA is filed under the name uncultured bacterium. RNAcentral's name for it is "partial 16S ribosomal RNA". It matches the Rfam family "Bacterial small subunit ribosomal RNA", at positions 30 to 523 of the family's 1533-position model. The record is from RNAcentral.